ACGUGGAAGACUAGUGUUAUUCAUCUUUAAUAGGUUUAAAGGGUACCUAGACGGUAUGAUCUUGCCUUAAGGGGGGGGGGGGAACAGAUUUACUUGAGUUUUAUGUGAGGAGGGGAGUAUUUUUGGUGUAGAGUUGAAAUUUGUUGAUACCAUUAGGACUGGUAGAGGCGAAGGCGACCUCCUAUUUAAAA
Molecule: ribosomal RNA, 191 nt
Filed under: uncultured prokaryote
Description: partial 16S ribosomal RNA
Rfam family: Bacterial small subunit ribosomal RNA
Source: RNAcentral